UGCACUGACUGGUUACAGUGCGACGCUGUGUCUUUACACAAUAAACGGGUGUGUGAUAUACAUUUCAGUAACGACUGCAGAAUGCACAUCGGAUCAAACAAGUUAAUUCCGUUUGCAGUUCCAAACAAGGACUUGCCAGGAUUUCAUGAAUCACCGUGCAAGGAAAAUUCCCAAGCUACAUGGUUCUAUGAGGUUAAUGGCUGUGGCAGAUAUUUUACUUUGGAGCCUCAAACCAUUCUGCCUGUGGCGUCAGUUGUCAUGGACAUAGACAAACCUUCAGAAGCAGCACCAGCCGAACAAAGCACUUUAAUGACUCCUACAAAGCAGGAAGCAAAAUUUUGGGUGUAGAGCCUGUGACGUCUUUGAAGCAAAGUAAGUGAAGAAUAUUGCCUGCUGUGAAUGUAACACGAUUGCAUGAACUUACUCCAAAGGCAUCUGUGUUAUACAAGAAAGUGACAUGGCUCCAUAAAAAGACGGCACGUCAAUGUGAGGCAGUGAAAAGUCUCAAAUCAAGAGUAGAUCUUGCAAAACAGUUUGGAAAAAGCAAAUCAUACAACCAUUUAUUGAAACAUGUGGCUUGAGGUUAUCACAGAGCGGGACAGGUUAGAAAUUCUGCAAAACCAAUGGACACCAGAUAUUUCCUACUCGUUUCCUAAAGGGGAAAACGCAACCUCAAGUUCCAGCACAACUGGUUGAACAGAUGGAAAUGGUUGCUGUAUUCUAAAUUUACAGAUGGCGCAUACUGUAAGUACUGUGCUUGGUUUUGCUGUGGGAGUGGAGCAGGUAGGGGAUACCAAGCUUUAGGCGUACUAGUCAAGAAGUCAUUAGUAAGUAAGUAAGGCAUUAUCUGUGCGAGAUAAACUGGACAUUAUUGAAAAGGUAGACUCCAACCCCACUGUCCCGCACGUGUUAGGCCCAUUCUACAAUGACACGUAAACGGAACAGACUGAAACAGAGACGAAAACGAAGGGCUGUUCCGUUCCGUCCGUUUCUCGUUCUACAAUACACGGACCCGUAAGAUAUUUCUGAGCUCUUGUAAUCAAUUUUUGAGCUCAGGAUUCAAGAGAUUAAAACUAAACAAAACCCACGUGCACAAUUCAAUAUUCAUACACAACUCUUGUUUAGUUGUUACGGUACAAAAAAAAAGCCGUCAACUAAUACGGACAACAACAUUAGUCAAAACUAAUACUUUUAGGAACAUGAACGAGCAACUGUAGCUUGACAACUGCAGUGAAAAAAUAACGUGCUUUUAUUGGUCUAACGGAGUAACGUAAACGGAAGACCUCAGCACUGCCGAGCAGGUCUGUAUGGGUCCAUCUCCGUUUGCGUGCUAUUGUAGAAGCUCUGUUCCGUGAGAUCCGUCAUAGUUUCCGUGAUCCGUCUCCGUUUCCGUGUCAUUGUAGAACGGGCCUUAAUAGCAAAGGAACUGGGAAUUGCAAUAUCCACAUUAAGUACAAUAUUAAACAAGCUGAACAAUCUUCUUUCUCAAGCUGCGAAUACGUCACAGAGUAUUAAACGCCUGAAAAAAGGAAAAUACGCCGAUGUCGAAGAACCAUUAAUAGAAAGUUUGUACAUGUGUAGUGCAUUAAAAAUAAUAUCUGCAUUUGUUCAUAAAACUGUUGCUUUGACUAUUUUCAUUCGUUCUUUUCUUGGCUUAGGCCUAUGUGUAGUUAAGAUUUUGCUUUUGAGUAUGUAUUGCCAAUAUAAAACUUUUCCCAGAUAUAAAGUUUCCCCUCUAUAGUGAACAUAUAAACUACUCCCUACAGAUUAAUUAAUUAUAACAGGGUUCUACUGUAUGUAAAUAUAAGCUCAUUUAAACACUAUUUGGGAAUACAGAAAAAAAAAAGUUUUUGAUGUAAAACUGAACUGAAACUCAAUUGACCAAUUAAAACCAGAACAGCACAGCCCUAGUAAUAACCUAUCUUCUCAUUUGUUUACACUUAAAUGUUUUAGAAAUUUUACAGGUUAGGCCAAGAAAUAAAUGUUAUUGGUAUGUGAAGACAUGUUACAUUGUGUUAAAUGCACGUUUAGCCCCGCCCCUAUGUUAGAAAUGUACACAUUGUGUAGGUUCUGCUCUGAUUAUCCAAAUGAUAAAGAGUUGGUGUACUGCUUUAUUUUGUACCUACCACUUGUCUUAAUGAUUUCAACAGUAAGUUAUUUUAGACUUUUGGUUUAAUUUAUGUUAUAAAGAUGAUCUUACUUAUAUUA
Molecule: long non-coding RNA, 2208 nt
Organism: Bacillus rossius redtenbacheri
Lineage: Eukaryota; Metazoa; Arthropoda; Insecta; Phasmatodea; Bacillidae
Exons: 5
Source: RefSeq, a predicted model, not a curated record